UUUAAUUGAAGAGUUUGAUCAUGGCUCAGAUUGAACGCUGGCGGCAGGCCUAACACAUGCAAGUCGAGCGGCAGCACAGAGGAACUUGUUCCUUGGGUGGCGAGCGGCGGACGGGUGAGUAAUGCCUGGGAAAUUGCCCGGUAGAGGGGGAUAACCAUUGGAAACGAUGGCUAAUACC
This 178-nucleotide ribosomal RNA is filed under the name Vibrio cholerae. RNAcentral's name for it is "partial 16S ribosomal RNA". It matches the Rfam family "Bacterial small subunit ribosomal RNA", at positions 1 to 170 of the family's 1533-position model. The record is from RNAcentral. Lineage: Bacteria; Pseudomonadati; Pseudomonadota; Gammaproteobacteria; Vibrionales; Vibrionaceae.